AUCCGCUCCAUCAGGAGUUCAUCUCGCGAGCCCAGGACAGGCGGUCAGUACUUCCUGUCAGAUAAACAGAGUCAUCAGCCAUCCGACUCUUCCAAUUAGUAUCACUGCUCAUGAAGACAGGCACAUCAAAUUCUAUGACAACAAUACAGGAAAACUGAUCCAUUCCAUGGUAGCUCACUUAGAUGCAGUUACGAGUUUAGCUGUCGAUCCUAAUGGCUUGUACUUGAUGUCUGGCAGUCAUGACUGUUCAAUUCGCUUAUGGAAUCUUGAAAGCAAGACCUGCAUCCAAGAAUUCACUGCUCAUCGCAAAAAAUUUGAUGAGUCCAUUCAUGAUGUGGCAUUCCACCCAUCCAAAUGUUAUAUUGCCAGUGCAGGAGCAGAUGCCCUGGCAAAAGUGUUUGUAUGACAGAGUGGGUCCCUUUCCAACUUUAGCUUUGUAUAUAUUUAACCAGCUGCACAAAACAGAAGAGAAGGGCAUGGGUCUCCUGCCCAAUCAGAGAAUGUUUGUAAGUGUUUAGUUUUUGCAGGGUGCUGUUUUCUAAAUUGAAAUUUGUUCUGGUUUCUGUGAGCUCAGCUGGUGCUGAGAGCUUGGAAACUCUCAGUUUCAACUACUUUCAAAAAGGAAAAAAAAAAAAAAAAAGCAAUUUUAUUUCAGAGGAUGUGAAUUUUCGUCCAGGCAGGCCUUGGGUGAAAUUAGGUCUAUGUGUUCUCUAUUAUUAAGAUGGAGUACUGGAAAGAAAGGGUCUAAUUGCUUCAGGGAGAGAGGGAAAAGAGGGAAAUUUUCUGGGAUGCUUCUUAUGGAGGAAUCUUGAUGUACUUAAGAUUAAAUCACCUGGAAAAAGUGUCAGUUCAGAUGCUUGUUAUUGUGUCAUGUGAGAGGCACUUUGUCAUCCCUUAAUCCCUUUGGUAUUAAUGAGUAGAUCACAUUCAGAGAGCAGUAGCUGAUACUUAAUCUCAGCCACCUGGCUGCUAGCCUAAGAUAAAUGUGGAUAAAGAAAAGCAAAUUACUAACAUAAAUUGAAAUACAGUAAAGUUUUAUUAAAUAUUUGGUGUUAUAUGGCAAAUAUUUAGUUUGCAAAAAAAAUUGUAUAAUUUUUUAAAUUGCAUUAGCAUGUGGCUAGAAGCUGAGUCUUUAGUCUAGUCCCAGUUAACAGCAGACUGAAGCAGUCUGUACAUACUUUAGUAGCAGAUUAACUUAUUCAGAUUUAUAAUACUGUUUAUUCUUGGAGAUCUGGCACAAGAAAUUAUAAGAUUUCCCAAAGAAACUCUUACAGUGUAAUUAUCAUAUGUUCAUUCCUCCUCUUUCUGUUCCUGCUAAAAAAGGGUAUCAUUCUGGGAAUUGUGUAACCAUGAAAUACUCAAUUUCUUUUGAAGAUUAAACCUAUGCUUUGUAUGAAUCCUACUAGCGUCAUAGGUGCUUGCACAAAGGUUGAUCUGUGUGAAAGUUUCUGCUACUUGUAGAGGCAUUUCCAGACUACAGCAUUUGUGAAACUUUUCCACGUGUGCUUCACUGGGCAUAUUGUGCCAUUAAUUAGGUUACCUGAAGAACGAAUGUUUUUUUUUUUAAAUUGCUCAACAGAUGUGCUUUGUCUCAGUAUUCAGAACUUCUCUGUUGAUUCAAGUGACAAGUAACUUUUAAUCCAAAAUUUUUGUCAAUUUAUCCCUUCCCUUUUAUCCCUCCCUAUAAUGAAAGUGAGUGGAUUCUUUUAUAUUACGUGUCACCAUGAGAGCCCUUACUGCUCUUCAGUCUGGAGUUGGUGUUUUCCUCAAAUUGGAAUGGAAGGCAGAAUUUAUUCUGCCUAUUAUUAGAUUAUUUCUGGUGCUGAUGUGAGUAGGAAAGAACCCAACAUAUGCAAUCCUUUCAAAGACCAGCCUGAGGCUAAGACUGGAAACUGAUCAUCUUUACCUUUACGCUUUUUAAGAAGGAAUCGUUGAAAGAUAUCAACAUAGGAUUUGACCAUGCUGUUCUUAGAGUGAUAUUUAGAGAUGGGACCACUAUUGAUGCUGAACUCAGAGUUUAGAUUAACUAUUAUUUAGAAUAAAAGGUUGACCUGUGCUGUUUGAGCCUGCAACACAUUAUAUUUACUGCUAAAGUAUCCUGGAAUACCUUUUUUUUUGCUCAGAAUAUUCAAAUAUGUCACUUCAUGAUACUGAUAUGCAAUAUAUUUCCAUAGGUAAGGUUAGAACUUUUUACCAUGAAACAGAUGAUUACGAUAAUGAUUCAGAUUUAGUUUUUAAAAAACGUUUUGGUUAUGAUAAAAAGAGGGAAAUCUUGUCUGCAAAACUGAGCAUUCAACUUAGUGAGAGUUCUGUAUACUUGACUCAUAUUCUUUCAGUGUCGUUAUUUUAUUUCUUUUUGGAGAGCAAAUUACAAAGAUUUAUUUGAAAAAUUCUAAAAGCUAUGUAUAUUACAUAUGUGUAUAUAUAUAUUGUAAACAUGUAUUAAAUAUGUCUAGUAAGGGAAGACUCUAUGGGUGCAUUUUAAUGUUUUAGUAUUAAGAGUUCUCUUGAGUUUGUGUAUACAAAGGAUAAUGGUGUGAGUAUGAAAUGAAUGUUGUGCUUUUGCUUACACAAUACAAUAUGUAGUUAAAGUUGUUUAAAUUGCUGUACAUAAAAUGAAUAGGCCAGCAUGCUCGUUUUUAAAGACUGUCAUUCUGAUUACAAUUGGAAUGUAAGAAGUGGCUGUUCAAAUGUGAAUUGAAAGAUGUUUCCUUCUCACUAUCGAGCUUUUGCUCAAACUGAGAAGAGACUUUUUUUAAAGCUGGCAAUAGCUAGAGGAUGAGGUGCCUUUAAAAAACAAAACAAAUGUAGCCUUACAAAGAGGUUGUGGAUAUAUAUUUUUGUGCUGGUCUUCAUAAUUGAUGUCAGUGUCUUUUUACUGUACUUGUUCACAUACUCGUAGGACUGCAGGGUAUUGUGCAUGAGCCUGUCAGAUCUUCUGAACGUCAUCAUAGGAGUUAGGGAUGAAAAAUUUAUUUAGGUUACCCAGUCCAUCUGUUCGCUCAAGCAGGAUUGUUGACUUGUGCAUUUUAAUAUUGUCUUGGCCAGUGAGGUCCUGUAUGUGUUCUAAGUGAUUAAUUUUCUUUCGGAAGAUUAUUUCAAUGAUUGCUUCUCACUGACAGGAGGAUUUAUUUGAUGCUUAGUGGUUCUUUUUGUAACUUCAUGCUGGUAUUUCAAGUCAUAUUUUGUGCCAUUUUAAAUAUUCCUCAUCACCUCAGUAAUUUGGAACCCUUGUGUAUGCACUAGCUCUACUGCAUAUUUCAUUUCCCCUUUCUCUAGGCUGUUUUUCAGUCUGCUCUUUUUACACAACUUUUUCUUAUUUUCAGCUUUUUUAGCUCAUGUCUCCAUAUCCCGGUGCCCACAGUGCCUUUCCACUUACAGUGCUUUCUCAGACUUAGUCUGAAGGAGAUCUGUUAAAAGUGGAGGGUUUUGGUUUUUUUCCCCUCUACGUAAUGCUUUUGUGUAGGAAGUCCAAACAUUUUAGUCUAGCUAGUAUCUCUAUACCCAGAUCUCAUUUCUGACAACUGUUUUCUUUAACUCAGCAUUGCUGCUUCUCAAGUUUCUCCUUCGCUUUCAGUAUGUACUUAAAAUUCUUUUGCAGCUAGAUGCUUAAUUCAUAACCUAUUUUUACAGGCUUUGAACUUCUGAUCUCUGAGGGAACUCUUUUUUUUUUUUUUUCCAUUUUAUAAUGCAAUUCUUUCUGGUUCAGUAUAAUUGGUAACUUUUAUGAAUGUGAUAAAUCCAUCUGAAGAUGCAAACAAAAUGGAACUUAACGGUUGUUCCUGGAAAAAAACAACAAAUAGUGACAUUUUUGUGUGACACUGUAUAUUGCAUUUUACCAUUGUCCUUUUUCAUGUAUUUAAUUGACAUGAUAAGUUUUUUAAUGGUUAACUUGUAGAAUUUUUUGUGUAUGUUAGCCUGUGCUACUGAUUUUGGUUUUGCUAACUAAUUUAAUGGGAAAAUCUGCAAUCCUUUCAUACAUUUAAAAUGAGUCCACUAGGUUUAAAUACUCUCAUUUUUAUUUCUAAUUUAUUUCAUUGCUGUAUACUUUCACUUUGAUUAUAUUUGAUUCAGUUGCCAAAACACUUGCACAAAAUGAUUUGGAAUAGCCUGGAGGAAGCUCUAGAUAUAAUUUUGUUGUGGAAAAUAUUUCCUUCCCUCCCAAAAAAUCUGUUUGUCUUUUUUUUUGGUGCCUCAGAGGAAAGUGUUUUGACAUACCAAAUAAAAGAUUUUAUUACUUAAAAGACUUUAGCAAGAAGUCUUAAGAUAAUGACAUGUCACUCACAUACUGUUGAUUGUUUUCUAUCUGUAUGUUCUCAAAUGGUGUUAUGUAAAGCAGUCCCAUAUAUAAUAUAUUUGAGAAAAUGUGUGGCAUUUACCAUACAGCUUUGUGAUCAGUAAUCAGAAAUGUGUCCUUUUGAGUAAUUAUGUGACAGAUAAAGGACUCGGUUACACUGCCUUUUGAGGUACACUUGUUUGAUCUCAAAUGUGUCCCCUUUCCCUCUCCCUGUUCCUCAUGUUUUAUCAGUGUCAUUUUUGGGAGCAGCAAUUUCCAUAAGCUCAUGCAUCACUUGUCAGCGUUAGUCCAUCACACAAGAAAUAAGAAGUUAAGGAGCAGGUAGAACCAUCUGAGUGUUUGGAAUGCCUCCCAAGAUGCAUGUUUGGAACCAUUUGCAGAGUGUGGUUUGGCAGUGUUUGCAGACUGUUCUGGGGAGCUCUCGGUGUGAAAUGUUAAAUAGAAUGUUCUGUAGUAAACCUAGUAAAAUCUUGUAAAAUAGGGGGAGUUGUGGAGGAAAGUACAGCUAUUGUGUUUGUGCCUGUACAGGACUGAUAGAGAGCAUUCUUCUUGGAGUCCUCUUUGCUGAAGCAUCAAACUUGCAAUCUAACAUGAAUAGCUCUUAGAUGCAAAUGAGAUUGCUAAUGUUUUUGCUUUGAAGAUCUAUAGUGGUCACUAUGCUGAACAGUGAGGGAGGGUAUUGGCUGAACUCUGAAGGUUAAACGGUUUAAAUGCCAAAACCAAUGUGCCCUCCCUGGGACUGAUGUCAGCUCAGGAUAACUAGGCUGGGAAGCAACGUAUAAUUCAAUGUGAUGAUAGCAGAGGGAACAAGGGGAAGCCUUUAAAGGGUGGAGUAGCAAUCUUAGUGAAGCUUUCCUGUGAUGAUUCCUCAGAUUAUUCACAUACCCAUUGGUUGCCAGUUGUGCGAAGGACAAAAUGUAGUAUAUGUUCAGAUUCCAAAUUGUGGAAUAAUUGUGUCAAAGGUGGAGAUCAUGCAAAUUUAUAAACUCUUGCUUUAGAUAAGCUGCCCCAAACAAUUGCUUGUGUUGCUAAAUAUUGUUGUGUCUUUUUAAACUUUACUUUCUCCUGUAAGUGAAUGGGACCAGUGGUUUCAGUUAAAUUGAAACUCAGUUGGCACACGUAUCUUUCAGCUUUCUUGUGGACAAGCUGGAAUUCAUGGAAAUAACUGUGAAAAUGCGAUGCUGCUUGUAAUACAGCUUUUAUAACACUCUGAAAAUUGUGGCUCUGGUGGAAACUGUUUUGGCCUACACUGUUAAAAAUGAAGGUAUCAGGAAUGAUAGUAAAAUGUUCACGUACGGUAAAUAGUUUUGUAUAAAAUGUUUGAUUUUUGGGAAAGCACCUGCUGCUGGUGAGCAUCAUAGUGAUGUUCAGUUGAGCUAUGUUACUACUGAGCACAGAGAGGAAGCAACAAUUUUUCUGGAAACCUAAAGCUCUCUUUUUCCAUGAAGGACAUGUAGGGAUUGAAAAUGUUUUAUUCAAAUCUGAUAAUAUAUUUAGUUGCAGAGGUUGCAAUAGGUGAACAGUCUUGACUAUUUCAUCACUUUAGAGCAGCACACUGUUACUGAAACUAAUGGUCUGUGAACUGUUAGGCAGUCCCUCUGCAGUAUUUCUGCUGAGUAGCAAUGAAUCUGACAGAAAACAAAGUGGUAGGCAAUGCAGUCAUGAAAAACUCACAUUUUAAGAGAUAGUCUUAAGUACAACAGAGUGAAUGAAGAAACAUCUGGGGAGUAAGGAGGGAGGGUGCAAGAGUCACCUUUAUGUAAAUAGCCUUUGUACAGACAUGCUCAGUAUGCAACUGAUGAGACUAAUCCAGGGAGGGAAGGUCUUGGCAAUGAGAAGACCUUCAAAGUUACAACUGUGCCUGUACUAACAUAUGUACCUGUUGUGAAGGUUAUCAGUCUUUUUGAAAUUUUACUCUUAUCUUUCCACUUAAAUCUAUCUUUUCUUGGAGUCGUAAUAUUGUAGCUACAGUGGAUUUUUACUGCAGGAUAAAUUUCAUAAAAGCAUAUUGAUCUAGAAUGUUUUUUGAAGAGUAUUGGGGUUUCAGCUUCAGCCCUGCCCCUCCCAUCACCAACAGGCUGUUCUAUACUUCCUUGGUCCCAGUUUGUGUAAGUCUACUGAGUUCUCUGAUCCUGCCUGCUUACCUGCUUUCUCUACCCUUUGAUCUGUUGUGAAAACUUAGGGAGUGCUACGUCAUUCAAGGUUUUUGAGAAUCUGAAUUCAACUACAGAAUGUGUCAUUCCAGUUCCACAGUAGAGUUUAUGGGUCUGAACUGGGUCAUUCUAAAGGGAGGUUUGAUGCUCCCUGACAAAAUGUGAAGUAUAGCUGAACUAAAGAGGUAUUUAAUAAUACACAUGCUUUAGCCUGUCUUUGUUCUUGAUUGUCUCUGAGUCAUCGUAUUGUGUGUCCAACUAAUUUUGCACAGUUUGUGCCGCCAAGCCACACUGUGAUCCUGGGAGAUCGCACCUCAUUUUAAACCAUGCCUGUGUGUAUGUUUUUGAAGCUGCUCAAAGCCUUGUGCUGGCAAGGUCCUCGAGCCCUUGCAGGCCUCAAAGGUACUCCCUACUACUUCAGAGAAACCCUUGGUCCUCACACCGGAGUAUUAGACUGGAAAGCUGAGAAAAGAUUUACGAAGCUGCAUUUGUACUCUUCUGUAAGAAAAGGGAUGACUUAUCUCCAAGCCAAAUAUUUUCAUAAUUUUGGAUUGCUUUAAAAAAGCAGCCAAAAACAUUGUGUAAGGGAAAAGCAAUGGACUUCAAGCUAAUAUUUUUCCAUUGAGAAUUUAUUUUUUUAUUCUUCCUCUCAUUAAGAUAGUGCUUGUUGAAUGUUGCUUGUUUUCAGAUGUGUGUCUCCUAGAACUGUUUCCUUGCAGUCGAGCAUUUACAAACAUGCAUAGAUUUUGAAAACUGUUUCAUAUGUUAGCACUUUUUCCAGAAAUGCAAAAUGAGGACGUUUGCUAAUGACUUCUUGUAUAGCCCAUUAUAGACCAAUCAGACUGAAGAUCAGACUUGUACUAUAACUUCCUUGAAUCACACAUCUGAAAAUCUUAUAGAAAUCUGUGAUAAGAAGACUAUUGUUGCUGUAAGAUUUUUUUGUUGACGUUUGUUAGCAGAUCAGCAACCUGCGUUGUAUUUCAUCUAAAUAUCUUCAAUUGGUUUCUUUUAAGAGAAACUGUCAAGGUUAAAAAAAAAAAAUACUAGAUGAAUUUCCUUGUCUUACGGGACAUUCAUAAGAUUGAAGUAAUUAAAACUGAUUGGUUUUUCAGCAUGGUCAUGAUUUGGAUUGUUGUUGUUUAUAUUCAUCUAUACCUUUUCCCCUCCCUAGGGAAAACUGUUGAAUUUAGAGGUACCUGUCAUUUCUUUCAGAGAAGAUACCACAGGUGAUAACCACUUACAUGUCAAUAUUUACAUGUGGUCCUCUUCUGUUUUGGGUCACUUCCAUGACAAAUAGUUAAUAGGAAAAGGCUACUGUGACUAAUAUUUGAACUCUUGCUUCAACAGCUACAGGAAAUUAAGAUUCCCCUUCAGAAUUACACUGAGGUUAUUAUUUUGCACGCCAGUUUUGAAUGACUACUUUGAAACAGUGUUGGGCUUCAAGUGUCUUGCAUAGUGGUGGAUCCAAAUGAGAAAUGCCUACUUGUUGAGUAAUAGUCUGCUUGUCAGUUUGUAUAUGGCUCAGUACCAAGUUGUCAGAGUACCACCAGAUUACCUUCUUUAAAUGCUACUGUUGUAUAGAAGUGAAUGUUAUGUUAAGUGAGAGAUACUGCUUUCUAAUUCAUGAAGGAAAUAGUUUACUUGGGAGUCAGGAUCCCAAAUUUUCAUAUGUUUCAAGAUUUCAGAAAGGCUUUUAUGGGAAAUAAGAAAAGUGAAAGUCAUCAUUCUCCAAAGAUUUGAUAAGCCUUUGUUAUAAAAAGUAUAAAUAUUUGCUAUAAAGAAAAAUGCUUCUUCAAACACUUCAUAUUAACUUUUACUGAAAAUCAAUAUUUUAAAAUCCUGGAUAAAUAUCUCAAAUGGCGAAGACAGAAAAUUCAGAGAGAUUAUUUUGAAAUAUGCCAGUAUAUUUUUGAGCUUCUCAAUUGCGGCCCUGAAUUUUCUCUCUUUCGCUGCAAUUCAUACUUUGUGAAGGUUCUUGGAUAGGUUAUAUUUAAAACUACAUUCACAUGCCUGAAUAGUCCAAGUAAAUAUUUUGUCAUUAAAAUUGUAUAGGUCUGCAUAUUUUAGUGUGCCAUUUAAAAUGAGACCACAUAGAGGUAACCAUGCAGGUAUUUAUAUUGAUAUGACUGUAGUGAAGUGGGAUAGCUGUAUACUGUACCCGCAUUCUGUGCUGAGCAAAAUCACAUGGACUUCCAGAAAUAAGCAAUGGUUUUUAAAAGCAGCUUUAUUUAAUGUUACAGCAGCAAGUAAGUGUCAUUUGUACCAUAUAAUUAUGUAAAUUGGGUGCUAAUAAAUACUAUUUUUCAACA
Meleagris gallopavo (turkey) is the source of this 8759-nucleotide non-coding RNA. The record is from RefSeq and is a predicted model, not a curated record. NCBI's taxonomy places the organism in Eukaryota, Metazoa, Chordata, Aves, Galliformes, Phasianidae.